Long non-coding RNA from Herpailurus yagouaroundi (jaguarundi), 225 nucleotides. RefSeq lists it as uncharacterized. The transcript has 2 exons. The record is from RefSeq and is a predicted model, not a curated record. Lineage: Eukaryota; Metazoa; Chordata; Mammalia; Carnivora; Felidae.
CUCUGCCCCUAGGUUCCUACAUAAGUGCUCUGAAAUCUCCGCGGAAUUUCAGAUAGAAUUGUGUUAAAGCCUGCAGGAAGUGUCCGCCUGACUGCUGUAAAGGUGGCUUUCUCUUGAGCACUCCACUGCUGUUAGCAAAUCUUGAUGGCUCCAUCAAGACAGCUCCAGCAUUUACCCACUUCUUCCUGCCAGCAGCCACCAUCUGCCCUGCUGGGGACAGCAAGG